GCUGCUGACAUGCUGUUUAAGUAUUUUAAGUCUUUUUCUUUGGAAACCUGAGUGUUUUAAACCCAGUAAAGACUUUUUGUGUGUGUGCCUGCACUGCUCUCUCGUCCUGGGGUUUGAAUGGACUAUGGAAAACAAAGUGGAAGGUCUUGGACUACUGUCUUCAACUUUAUUGGACUUCCUUAUUGGUGCUAAGGACAAUGAUGAAUCACAGCUCACUCUGCUUGGCUUCGAAUUGGUCCACUGCUACUAAGUCCCUGUGUAUCCACCAUUCAAUGAACUUUGACUACUCAAUAGAUUGGGCAGAGUGACUUCCCCCCCACUUUAGCAGCCGGUUCUGCUUGGUGGGCUCCAGGCCCUUGAGGUCCACCCCUGCCCCUUCCCUG
Molecule: long non-coding RNA, 383 nt
Organism: Astyanax mexicanus (Mexican tetra)
Lineage: Eukaryota; Metazoa; Chordata; Actinopteri; Characiformes; Acestrorhamphidae
Exons: 3
Source: RefSeq, a predicted model, not a curated record